Molecule: ribosomal RNA, 508 nt
Filed under: uncultured bacterium
Lineage: Bacteria
Description: partial 16S ribosomal RNA
Rfam family: Bacterial small subunit ribosomal RNA
Source: RNAcentral
AUUGAACGCUGGCGGCAUGCCUUACACAUGCAAGUCGAACGGCAGCGGGGGAGAAGCUUGCUUUUCCUGCCGGCGAGUGGCGAACGGGUGAGUAAUACAUCGGAACGUGCCCUGUAGUGGGGGAUAACUAGUCGAAAGAUUAGCUAAUACCGCAUACGACCUGAGGGUGAAAGUGGGGGACCGCAAGGCCUCAUGCUAUAGGAGCGGCCGAUGUCUGAUUAGCUAGUUGGGGGGGUAAAGGCCUACCAAGGCGACGAUCAGUAGCUGGUCUGGGAGGACGAUCAGGCACACUGGGACUGGGACACGGCCCAGACUCCUACAGGAGGAAGCAGUGGGGAAUUUUGGACAAUGGGCGAGAGCCAGAUCCAGCAAUGCCGCGUGUGUGAAGAAGGCCUUCGGGUUGUAAAGCACUUUUGUCCGGAAAGAAAUGGCUCUGGUUAAUACCUGGGGUCGAUGACGGUACCGGAAGAAUAAGGACCGGCUAACUACGUGCCAGCCGCCGCAGUAA